GUUGGCGAAACGAUUCCUUCUUUUUUUAGAACAACUCUUUUUACUGACUCGAGAGUCAUGACCGUUUUUUUAGAACAACUCUUUUUACUGACUCGAGAGUCAUGACUGUUUUUUAGUGUGACUCGUUCAUUUUAGUCGUUCGCUGCAACGAGUCCUAAAGCAGUAUUGAUACACUCUUCUCUAGUUCAGCGGCUCCAGACACGUGCUCCGACCAACAACUGUCUGUCAUAUCGCCGUGCAGGAAAACAUAUCGUAUUGCCAGACAGUAUAGAUAUGAAAAAUACGUGUUUUAAAGUAAUCCAUCACAUGGUGCAAUAAUGAAUGCAAUGAAUUCAUUAUUGAACGCAGCUUUGUGGAAGCAAAAUAUACACAGCCUAUGCUCAACAAACUCGAACUCGAGGGGACGAAUCAUUUGGUGGGCUGCAGUUCGCAAACGACAUUGUGCUUAUAAUGCCAAUGGAUCCCGCGAAGAGGUGUUCACAAUCUAGUCCGGUUGCUGCCUAGACCUCAUUUAAAGUGUAUAAAGAAAUAAUCUUAUUUUGUAUGACCCAGCAAUCAGCAAUCAACAAAUGUACAUUAUUUUGAAGCACACGUUUACAAGUGUCAGUCACAAAUGACAGCUCCAAAAAGCCCCUAUCUGUUGAACAACAUUUGAACAAGAGGUUUGUAAGAAUCAUCAUGACUUUUUUUAGUUUUCAGUUCAUUGUUACUCCGGUAGGGGUCCUGUGUGCUCUGGGCAUCAAUGACUCAAAUAAACAAAAUCAUUUGUUAUUUUGACUGAGCGAGUCUAAAAAAAAAGAUUAGAGUCAGGUUUAAAAAAAAGAUUAGAGUCAGGUUUAAAAAAAAGAUUAGUCAAGUAAAAAAAAAGAGCAGAACUUCUUAUUGAUAGUCUGUUAUAACACGGACGACCGGCCGUCUGCUUGGAGUGAAAUACAGAAAAUCAACAGCAGGGGGAGCUCUUUACUAACCAAUACAGAUGGACUCCAGCCACAUCUCAGGAAGUAAGAGAAUAUUUUUACUUUAAUGGAAAUGUGUUGAGUUACAGUUAUUCUGAAACGUAUAUUAGCAUUUUUUUGGGGGGGAACAAAUGUUGCCGAUUUUUUCAAAACAGAGUUCAUAUGACACAUAACUCUGUGGCCUUCUUGCAAAUCAGUAAAUGUGUUUUCAAAAUGUAGUUGCCUUCUCAAAACCAUUCAUCUAAACUAUAUUAUACCGUCAAAAUUGCUAAAGACAAUGAUAGCCUACAGUGGUUAGAGCGUUGGGCCAGUAACCGAAAGGUUGCUGGUUUGAAUCCCAGAGCUGUCAAGGUAAAAAAAAUCUAUCUCUCCAACCCUGAAGGCAGUUAACCCACUGUUUCCCGGUAGGCCAUCACUGUAAACAAGGCAGUUAACCCACUGUUUCCCGGUAGGCCAUCAC
Long non-coding RNA from Oncorhynchus tshawytscha (Chinook salmon), 1416 nucleotides. The record is from Ensembl. NCBI's taxonomy places the organism in Eukaryota, Metazoa, Chordata, Actinopteri, Salmoniformes, Salmonidae.